This 336-nucleotide long non-coding RNA is filed under the name Homo sapiens (human). Its description in RNAcentral is "HSALNT0351185". The record is from RNAcentral. Lineage: Eukaryota; Metazoa; Chordata; Mammalia; Primates; Hominidae.
GAUUUUUUUUUUCCCAGGGACAAAAACAACACCAACUUUCCCUCCCUAAGAGCUUCUUAUUGUUCAUUUUCGUUGCUAUUUGGAGAAAAAGCUCAUUAAAAUAUUAUGAAGCGCAUAGCAUAAUUACGUGCCAGCCUUUGCCAAUGAGGAACAUCUGUAGCACAGUGAGGGGUCAUGCAUUCUGGAAAAUAAUGCAGAGUGGUACAGGCUGAAGCGGAGCGGAGAGGACACUGUUUCAAGAUUCCUGCGCCAGCUCCUUCGUUGUUAUAGAAGUUGGACUAAAUAAAAGGGUAAUCACAAGCGUACAGAUAACAGGCAGGCAGGAAUGUGAAAAUC